CAGCCGCCGCGGUAAAACGAAGGGUGCAAGCGUUAAUCGGAAUUACUGGGCGUAAAGCGUGCGUAGGCGGUUUGUUAAGUCUGUUGUGAAAUCCCCGGGCUCAACCUGGGAAUGGCAAUGGAUACUGGCAAGCUAGAGUGUGUCAGAGGAUGGUGGAAUUCCCGGUGUAGCGGUGAAAUGCGUAGAGAUCGGGAGGAACAUCAGUGGCGAAGGCGGCCAUCUGGGACAACACUGACGCUGAGGCACGAAAGCGUGGGGAGCAAACAGGAUUAGAUACCCGGGUAGUCCCUGUCUCUUAUAC
This 301-nucleotide ribosomal RNA is filed under the name uncultured bacterium. RNAcentral's name for it is "partial 16S ribosomal RNA". It matches the Rfam family "Bacterial small subunit ribosomal RNA", at positions 509 to 807 of the family's 1533-position model. The record is from RNAcentral.